UUAAAUUAAAAUUUUUUUUGAAUUUAUAAAUUUAAUGGGUUAAUUACACCAUUGGUCCUCAACCUUUGCACUAUUUUUCAAUUUGGUCCCCAACCUUUUUUUUUUGCAAUCUGCUAACACAGCGCCACCGUGGCGCUGACAUGGCGCCUCCUUGGUGCCUCCGUGGUAUUUUUCAUUAAUUUUAACAGCUAUCUAACGGUUGGGACUUAAUUGAAAUGAAAUCAAAAGAUUAGUGACUUGAUUGCAAAAAAAAAAUAAUUGGGGACCAAAUUGAAAAAU
RNAcentral lists this long non-coding RNA (279 nucleotides) under Ananas comosus (pineapple). RNAcentral describes it as "long non-coding RNA (ACOM_LNC031937)". Lineage: Eukaryota; Viridiplantae; Streptophyta; Magnoliopsida; Poales; Bromeliaceae. The record is from RNAcentral.